Molecule: ribosomal RNA, 379 nt
Filed under: uncultured cyanobacterium
Lineage: Bacteria; Bacillati; Cyanobacteriota
Description: bacterial SSU rRNA
Rfam family: Bacterial small subunit ribosomal RNA
Source: RNAcentral
CGAAAGCCUGACGGAGCAACGCCGCGUGAGGGAUGAAGGCCUCUGGGCUGUAAACCUCUUUUCUCAAGGAAGAAGAUCUGACGGUACUUGAGGAAUAAGCCACGGCUAAUUCCGUGCCAGCAGCCGCGGUAAUACGGGAGUGGCAAGCGUUAUCCGGAAUCAUUGGGCGUAAAGCGUCCGCAGGCGGCCUUGUAAGUCUGUCGUUAAAGCGUGGAGCUUAACUCCAUUUCAGCGAUGGAAACUACAAGGCUUGAGUGUGGUAGGGGCAGAGGGAAUUCCCGGUGUAGCGGUGAAAUGCGUAGAUAUCGGGAAGAACACCAGUGGCGAAGGCGCUCUGCUGGGCCAUAACUGACGCUCAUGGACGAAAGCCAGGGGAGCG